CUAAGGCCGAUGGCGACCGGCGCACGGGUGAGUAACACGUAUCCAACCUGCCGAUAACUCUGGAAUAGCCUUUCGAAAGAAAGAUUAAUACCGGAUAGUAUACGAAUAUCGCAUGAUAUUUUUAUUAAAGAAUUUCGGUCAUCGAUGGGGAUGCGUUCCAUUAGGUUGUUGGCGGGGUAACGGCCCACCAAGCCUUCGAUGGAUAGGGGUUCUGAGAGGAAGGUCCCCCACAUUGGAACUGAGACACGGUCCAAACUCCUACGGGAGGCAGCAUG
This 275-nucleotide ribosomal RNA is filed under the name uncultured bacterium. RNAcentral's name for it is "partial 16S ribosomal RNA". It matches the Rfam family "Bacterial small subunit ribosomal RNA", at positions 79 to 353 of the family's 1533-position model. The record is from RNAcentral.